This 83-nucleotide transfer RNA is filed under the name Chloroflexota bacterium. RNAcentral's name for it is "Chloroflexi bacterium (oil production facility metagenome) tRNA-Leu". It matches the Rfam family "tRNA". Rfam says of the family: Transfer RNA (tRNA) molecules are approximately 80 nucleotides in length. Their secondary structure includes four short double-helical elements and three loops (D, anti-codon, and T loops). Lineage: Bacteria; Bacillati; Chloroflexota. The record is from RNAcentral.
GCCCCUGUGGCGGAAUUGGCAUACGCAGCAGGUUGAGGGCCUGUGCCCAUUAGGGCGUACUGGUUCGAGUCCAGUCAGGGGCA